RNAcentral lists this ribosomal RNA (788 nucleotides) under Bacillus subtilis. RNAcentral's name for it is "bacterial SSU rRNA". It matches the Rfam family "Bacterial small subunit ribosomal RNA", at positions 564 to 1349 of the family's 1533-position model. Lineage: Bacteria; Bacillati; Bacillota; Bacilli; Caryophanales; Bacillaceae. The record is from RNAcentral.
AGGGCUUCGCAGGCGGUUUUUUAAGUCUGAAGGUGAAAGCCCCCGGCUUCAACCGGGGAGGGUCAUUGGAAACUGGGGAACUUGAGUGCAGAAGAGGAGAGUGGAAUUCCACGUGUAGCGGUGAAAUGCGUAGAGAUGUGGAGGAACACCAGUGGCGAAGGCGACUCUCUGGUCUGUAACUGACGCUGAGGAGCGAAAGCGUGGGGAGCGAACAGGAUUAGAUACCCUGGUAGUCCACGCCGUAAACGAUGAGUGCUAAGUGUUAGGGGGUUUCCGCCCCUUAGUGCUGCAGCUAACGCAUUAAGCACUCCGCCUGGGGAGUACGGUCGCAAGACUGAAACUCAAAGGAAUUGACGGGGGCCCGCACAAGCGGUGGAGCAUGUGGUUUAAUUCGAAGCAACGCGAAGAACCUUACCAGGUCUUGACAUCCUCUGACGAUCCUAGAGAUAGGACGUCCCCUUCGGGGGCAGAGUGACAGGUGGUGCAUGGUUGUCGUCAGCUCGUGUCGUGAGAUGUUGGGUUAAGUCCCGCAACGAGCGCAACCCUUGAUCUUAGUUGCCAGCAUUCAGUUGGGCACUCUAAGGUGACUGCCGGUGACAAACCGGAGGAAGGUGGGGAUGACGUCAAAUCAUCAUGCCCCUUAUGACCUGGGCUACACACGUGCUACAAUGGACAGAACAAAGGGCAGCGAAACCGCGAGGUUAAGCCAAUCCCACAAAUCUGUUCUCAGUUCGGAUCGCAGUCUGCAACUCGACUGCGUGAAGCUGGAAUCGCUAGUAAUCGCGGAU